GUGCUCACUUUGGCAGCGCAUAUACUAAAAUUGAAACAAUGCAAAGAAGAUUAGCAUGGGCACUGUGCAAGGAGGGCAUGCAAAUUUGUAAAGCAUUCCAUAUUAAA
Hippopotamus amphibius kiboko is the source of this 107-nucleotide small nuclear RNA. The record is from RefSeq and is a predicted model, not a curated record. NCBI's taxonomy places the organism in Eukaryota, Metazoa, Chordata, Mammalia, Artiodactyla, Hippopotamidae.